ACGGAAAGACGGAGCAAUCUGCCACUUUGGGGAUGGGCCUGCGGCGCAUUAGCUAGUUUGGUGAGGUAACGGCUCACCAAGGCGACGAUGCGUAGCCGACCUGAGAGGGUGAUCGGCCACACUGGGACUGAGACACGGCCCAGACUCCUACGGGAGGCAGCAGUAGGGAAUCUUCCGCAAUGGGCGAAAGCCUGACGGAGCAAUGCCGCGUGAGUGAUGAAGGUUUUCGGAUCGUAAAGCUCUGUUGCCAGGGAAGAACGCUUGGGAGAGUAACUGCUCUCAAGGUGACGGUACCUGAGAAGAAAGCCCCGGCUAACUACGUGCCAGCAGCCGCGGUAAUACGUAGGGGGCAAGCGUUGUCCGGAAUUAUUGGGCGUAAAGCGCGCGCAGGCGCUCAUUUAAGUCUGGUGUUUAAUCCCGGGGCUCAACCCCGGAUCGCAGUGGAAACUGGAUGACUU
RNAcentral lists this ribosomal RNA (458 nucleotides) under Paenibacillus xylanexedens. Its description in RNAcentral is "bacterial SSU rRNA". It matches the Rfam family "Bacterial small subunit ribosomal RNA", at positions 199 to 643 of the family's 1533-position model. The record is from RNAcentral. Lineage: Bacteria; Bacillati; Bacillota; Bacilli; Caryophanales; Paenibacillaceae.